This 551-nucleotide ribosomal RNA is filed under the name uncultured bacterium. Its description in RNAcentral is "bacterial SSU rRNA". It matches the Rfam family "Bacterial small subunit ribosomal RNA", at positions 355 to 896 of the family's 1533-position model. The record is from RNAcentral.
UAGGGAAUCUUCGGCAAUGGACGGAAGUCUGACCGAGCAACGCCGCGUGAGUGAAGAAGGUUUUCGGAUCGUAAAGCUCUGUUGUAAGAGAAGAACGAGUGUGAGAGUGGAAAGUUCACACUGUGACGGUAUCUUACCAGAAAGGGACGGCUAACUACGUGCCAGCAGCCGCGGUAAUACGUAGGUCCCGAGCGUUGUCCGGAUUUAUUGGGCGUAAAGCGAGCGCAGGCGGUUAGAUAAGUCUGAAGUUAAAGGCUGUGGCUUAACCAUAGUAGGCUUUGGAAACUGUUUAACUUGAGUGCAAGAGGGGAGAGUGGAAUUCCAUGUGUAGCGGUGAAAUGCGUAGAUAUAUGGAGGAACACCGGUGGCGAAAGCGGCUCUCUGGCUUGUAACUGACGCUGAGGCUCGAAAGCGUGGGGAGCAAACAGGAUUAGAUACCCUGGUAGUCCACGCUGUAAACGAUGAGUGCUAGGUGUUAGACCCUUUCCGGGGUUUAGUGCCGUAGCUAACGCAUUAAGCACUCCGCCUGGGGAGUACGACGCGCAAGGUUG